RNAcentral lists this transfer RNA (77 nucleotides) under Povalibacter uvarum. RNAcentral's name for it is "tRNA-Gly". It matches the Rfam family "tRNA". Rfam says of the family: Transfer RNA (tRNA) molecules are approximately 80 nucleotides in length. Lineage: Bacteria; Pseudomonadati; Pseudomonadota; Gammaproteobacteria; Steroidobacterales; Steroidobacteraceae. The record is from RNAcentral.
GCGGAUGUAGUUCAGUCUGGCAGAACGCGACGUUGCCAACGUCGAGGUCAGGGGUUCGAGCCCCCUCGUCCGCACCA